AGGACGAACGCUGGCGGCGUGCUUAACACAUGCAAGUCGAGCGGAAAGGCCCUUCGGGGUACUCGAGCGGCGAACGGGUGAGUAACACGUGAGUAAUCUGCCCCUAGCUCUGGGAUAGCUCCGGGAAACCGGGAUUAAUACCGGAUAUGACCACUUUAGACAUCUGUUGUGGUGGAAAGAAUUUCGGCUAGGGAUGAGCUCGCGGCCUAUCAGCUUGUUGGUGGGGUAACGGCCUACCAAGGCGACGACGGGUA
RNAcentral lists this ribosomal RNA (254 nucleotides) under uncultured bacterium. RNAcentral's name for it is "partial small subunit ribosomal RNA". It matches the Rfam family "Bacterial small subunit ribosomal RNA", at positions 26 to 285 of the family's 1533-position model. The record is from RNAcentral.